CGGCGGACGGGUGAGUAACGCGUGGGUAACCUGCCUCAUACAGGGGGAUAACAGUUGGAAACGGCUGCUAAUACCGCAUAAGCGCACAGUACCGCAUGGUACCGUGUGAAAAACUCCGGUGGUAUGAGAUGGACCCGCGUCUGAUUAGGUAGUUGGUGGGGUAACGGCCUACCAAGCCGACGAUCAGUAGCCGACCUGAGAGGGUGACCGGCCACAUUGGGACUGAGACACGGACCAA
Molecule: ribosomal RNA, 238 nt
Filed under: uncultured bacterium
Lineage: Bacteria
Description: partial 16S ribosomal RNA
Rfam family: Bacterial small subunit ribosomal RNA
Source: RNAcentral